This 669-nucleotide ribosomal RNA is filed under the name uncultured bacterium. RNAcentral's name for it is "bacterial SSU rRNA". It matches the Rfam family "Bacterial small subunit ribosomal RNA", at positions 8 to 653 of the family's 1533-position model. The record is from RNAcentral.
AGAGUUUGAUCCUGGCUCAGAACGAACGCUGGCGGCGCGCCUAACACAUGCAAGUCGAACGGGGUGCUUAGAGCUGAUCACUUCGGUGUGAAGCACUUUGUUACCUAGUGGCGGACGGGUGAGUAACACAUAGGUAACCUGCCCUUAGGUUUGGGAUACUCCCGGGAAACCGGGCACAAUACUGAAUAUCAUUGCAAGACUCUGUUUUGUAAUGAAAGCUGCGAGCAAUCGUGGCGCCUAGGGAUGGGCCUGUGGCCUAUCAGCUUGUUGGUGAGGUAAUGGCUCACCAAGGCUAAGACGGGUAGCCGGACUGAGAGGUCGAUCGGCCACACUGGAACUGAGACACGGUCCAGACUCCUACGGGAGGCAGCAGUGGGGAAUUUUGCGCAAUGGGCGAAAGCUUGACGCAGCGACGCCGCGUGGGGGAAGAAGGCCUUUGGGUUGUAAACUCCUUUAGUAUGGGAAGAAGUCCCGAGCAAUCGGGAUGACGGUACCGUAAGAAUAAGCCACGGCUAACUCUGUGCCAGCAGCCGCGGUAAGACAGAGGUGGCAAGCGUUGUUCGGAUUUACUGGGCUUAAAGGGCGUGUAGGCGUCUUGAUAAGUCAGAUGUGGAAGCCUUGGGCUUAACCCAAGAAGUGCAUUUGAAACUGUCGAGAUUGAGUCGUGCA